CCUACGGAUGGCAGCAGUGGGGAAUAUUGGACAAUGGGGGCAACCCUGAUCCAGCCAUGCCGCGUGUGUGAAGAAGGCCCUCGGGUUGUAAAGCACUUUCAGUGAGGAAGAACGCCUGGUGGUUAAUACCCAUCAGGAAAGACAUCACUCACAGAAGAAGCACCGGCUAACUCCGUGCCAGCAGCCGCGGUAAUACGGAGGGUGCGAGCGUUAAUCGGAAUUACUGGGCGUAAAGCGCGCGUAGGUGGCUUGAUAAGCCGGUUGUGAAAGCCCCGGGCUCAACCUGGGAACGGCAUCCGGAACUGUCAAGCUAGAGUGCAGGAGAGGAAGGUAGAAUUCCCGGUGUAGCGGUGAAAUGCGUAGAGAUCGGGAGGAAUACCAGUGGCGAAGGCGGCCUUCUGGACUGACACUGACACUGAGGUGCGAAAGCGUGGGUAGCAAACAGGAUUAGAUACCCGGGUAGUC
RNAcentral lists this ribosomal RNA (465 nucleotides) under Vreelandella stevensii. Its description in RNAcentral is "partial 16S ribosomal RNA". It matches the Rfam family "Bacterial small subunit ribosomal RNA", at positions 338 to 795 of the family's 1533-position model. Lineage: Bacteria; Pseudomonadati; Pseudomonadota; Gammaproteobacteria; Oceanospirillales; Halomonadaceae. The record is from RNAcentral.